UAGGGAAUCUUCCACAAUGGACGAAAGUCUGAUGGAGCAACGCCGCGUGAGUGAAGAAGGGUUUCGGCUCGUAAAGCUCUGUUGUUAAAGAAGAACGUGGGUAAGAGUAACUGUUUACCCAGUGACGGUAUUUAACCAGAAAGCCACGGCUAACUACGUGCCAA
This 164-nucleotide ribosomal RNA is filed under the name uncultured bacterium. RNAcentral describes it as "partial 16S ribosomal RNA". It matches the Rfam family "Bacterial small subunit ribosomal RNA", at positions 355 to 511 of the family's 1533-position model. The record is from RNAcentral.